GGAGUUAGCCGGUGCUUCUUCUGUGAGUGAUGUCCUUCCUGCCGGCUAUUAACCCGCAGGCCUUCUUCCUCACUGAAAGUGCUUUACAACCCGAAGGCCUUCUUCACACACGCGGCAUGGCUGGAUCAGGGUUGCCCCCAUUGUCCAAUAUUCCCCACUGCUGCCUCCCGUAGGAGUCUGGGCCGUGUCUCAGUCCCAGUGUGGCUGAUCAUCCUCUCAGACCAGCUACGGAUCGUCGCCUUGGUGAGCCGUUACCUCACCAACCAGCUAAUCCGACAUAGGCUCAUCCGAUAGCGCGAGGCCCGAAGGUCCCCCGCUUUCCCCCGUAGGGCGUAUGCGGUAUUAGCCUGGGUUUCCCCAGGUUAUCCCCCACUACCGGGCAGAUUCCUAUGCAUUACUCACCCGUACGCCGCUCGCCACCAGGGAGCAAGCUCCCCGUGCUGCCGCUCGACUUGCAUGUGUUAGGCCUGCCGCCAGCGUUCAAUCUGAGCCAGGAUCAAACUCUGA
Molecule: ribosomal RNA, 507 nt
Filed under: uncultured bacterium
Lineage: Bacteria
Description: partial 16S ribosomal RNA
Source: RNAcentral